RNAcentral lists this ribosomal RNA (253 nucleotides) under uncultured bacterium. Its description in RNAcentral is "partial 16S ribosomal RNA". It matches the Rfam family "Bacterial small subunit ribosomal RNA", at positions 524 to 776 of the family's 1533-position model. The record is from RNAcentral.
UACGUAGGGGGCAAGCGUUGUCCGGAAUUAUUGGGCGUAAAGAGCGCGUAGGCGGUCCGGUAAGUCGGUUGUGAAAGUCGGGGGCUCAACCCUCGGAUGCCGAUCGAUACUGUCGGGCUAGAGUCCGGAAGAGGCGAGUGGAAUUCCUGGUGUAGCGGUGAAAUGCGCAGAUAUCAGGAGGAACACCGAUUGCGAAGGCAGCUCGCUGGGACGUGACUGACGCUGAGACGCGAAAGCGUGGGGAGCAAACAGG